UAGUCGGAGGUGUGUCUCGGACGGUCGGUUCGCCGCUUGUCGGUGCUCAACUGGCCGGUCCGGACGUCCUGCCGGUGGGGCCGUGAGGCCCCGUUAUCCUUCUUUGGUCCUCUUCACCGAGUGCCUUGGUGGGCCGGCACGUUUACUUUGAACAAAUUAGAGUGCUCAAAGCAGGCCGUUGGUCGCCUGAAUACUGUGUGCAUGGAAUAAUGGAAUAGGACCUCGGUUCCAUUUUGUUGGUUUUCAGAACUCGAGGUAAUGAUUAAUAGGGACGGACGGGGGCAUUCGUAUUGCGACGUUAGAGGUGAAAUUCUUGGAUCGUCGCAAGACGAACCGAUGCGAAAGCAUUUGCCAAGAACGUUUUCGUUGAUCAAGAACGAAAGUUAGAGGUUCGAAGGCGAUCAGAUACCGCCCUAGUUCUAACCAUAAACGAUGCCAGCUAGCCAUCCGCCGAAGUUCCUUCUAUGACUCGGCGGGCAGCUUCCGGGAAACCAAAGCUCUUGGGUUCCGGGGGAAGUAU
RNAcentral lists this ribosomal RNA (520 nucleotides) under Amanipodagrion gilliesi. RNAcentral's name for it is "SSU rRNA". It matches the Rfam family "Eukaryotic small subunit ribosomal RNA", at positions 631 to 1126 of the family's 1831-position model. Lineage: Eukaryota; Metazoa; Arthropoda; Insecta; Odonata; Megapodagrionidae. The record is from RNAcentral.